This 484-nucleotide ribosomal RNA is filed under the name uncultured bacterium. Its description in RNAcentral is "partial 16S ribosomal RNA". It matches the Rfam family "Bacterial small subunit ribosomal RNA", at positions 30 to 507 of the family's 1533-position model. The record is from RNAcentral.
AUUGAACGCUGGCGGCAGGCCUAACACAUGCAAGUCGAGCGGAUGAAGGGAGCUUGCUCCUGGAUUCAGCGGCGGACGGGUGAGUAAUGCCUAGGAAUCUGCCUGGUAGUGGGGGAUAACGUCCGGACACGGGCGCUAAUACCGCAUACGUCCUGAGGGAGAAAGUGGGGGAUCUUCGGACCUCACGCUAUCAGAUGAGCCUAGGUCGGAUUAGCUAGUUGGUGGGGUAAAGGCCUACCAAGGCGACGAUCCGUAACUGGUCUGAGAGGAUGAUCAGUCACACUGGAACUGAGACACGGUCCAGACUCCUACGGGAGGCAGCAGUGGGGAAUAUUGGGCAAUGGGCGAAAGCCUGAUCCAGCCAUGCCGCGUGUGUGAAGAAGGUCUUCGGAUUGUAAAGCACUUUAAGUUGGGAGGAAGGGCAGUAAGUUAAUACCUUGCUGUUUUGACGUUACCAACAGAAUAAGCACCGGCUAACUUCGUG